CCUCCUUAAAGGGGUCCGCCUUUCCUGAACUUGACGGGGCGGACCCGGAGUCUCCUUUGGGGAAGUUUAUUACGAAGCAUAACGAAAUAUUCUCCAUCCCUCUAGGUUCUCGUCAAGGGGCGUGUGUUUAGACCCCGAAAUUAAGUCCACAUAAAAGGGGUUGCCCUCAUCUGUGGAUGAAGUAGUGGGUAGUGUCUGGCCCCAGCGGGCGAUCUCUGCGUGUUCCGCCACCGAGGAAGCUACAGCCUCCAGCCAGCCGUUCAUCUCCUCCUGGGGGAAGAAACAGGGCACAGAGGCCGUAUUUGGAAGAGAGAAGCUGGAAUAAUAGAUUCUGCCUCUCAGUUGGACAAAAAGAGGGUGGACAAGCAGGAGCUGGACUCCCCAAGAGCAGGCACAUCAUGGCUAGACCCUCAUUUGGAAACCUGUAAGAGAUGACUCCCCCUUCCCAACCCCUACCCUCAUUAGUUUGGGCUCUGCCCGUUUUCGGACCCUCCCCCAAUUUGAAACUUCAAGGGUAGACCCACCCCACUCAUUGGUUGAGUGACCUCUCCAAGCUCCACGACAAGCCAUUGAAACCUUCUCAACUAGAUGCCUCCCUCUUUGCUAUUUAGCUGAUCAACUCCUGGGUUGGUUGCUAAGAGGUUAGGUUCCAAUUUACUCACUUUCAGAACAUUUUCCUUCUGUUCCCACCUAAGCUCUACCCAUCAUCCAUUAGAUGCACUAACCUUAGGUCCUGCCCCUUCCUGUUCAUUGGUUGGAAUCAUCAAAGUUGAGCCCCACCCCUCAUCUGGCCCCACCUACUACCCCCACGGGUUGGAGGGCCUGACGUUAAACCACACCCCCUCCUGCUC
Molecule: long non-coding RNA, 851 nt
Filed under: Homo sapiens (human)
Lineage: Eukaryota; Metazoa; Chordata; Mammalia; Primates; Hominidae
Description: HSALNT0259895
Source: RNAcentral